CGAAAAUAGUGGACUUUCUCCUCCUGAUCGGAGCUAGACUUCCUUCUAUGGUGCCUUGCUCACUGUUUGCGUUGCAUCCUGUCUUUUCAUUUUGCUGCAAGAUGGAAGUCUUCUCUGUUCCUCCUUCAGCAUCCCCCACCAUAUGAAUAGUGUCACCUGCCACCAACAAAUUAUCAAAGGAGAAGAUCCUUGGAUCAAAUUGAUAAAUCUCAAUGUAGUACACCCAUCAAGUGCUCUGUGGAUGCCUGCAGUUCAAAUGAGGCCACACCCUCCAAAGGGUUCAACUUUCUCUCCUCUGUCUACUGUGCCCCACUCAUCUGCCCAGAUCUCCUAUGACUCAUCCGCCCAGACAUCAGCUUCAACACAUGCAAGUGCAGGUGACAGAAUGAAGUGGCCCACGAUGUGAGUAUAUGCCACGGGGACACAUGAAAUUUAGAGCCAAGAAGAGCCAAAG
RNAcentral lists this long non-coding RNA (454 nucleotides) under Mus spicilegus (steppe mouse). Its description in RNAcentral is "lncRNA (ENSMSIG00000017039.1)". The record is from RNAcentral. Lineage: Eukaryota; Metazoa; Chordata; Mammalia; Rodentia; Muridae.